GUUUGAUCAUGGCUCAGGAUGAACGCUGGCGGCGUGCCUAAUACAUGCAAGUCGAACGGGGGUAGUUGUUCGUAAGGAUGGCUAUCCCAGUGGCAGACGGGUGAGUAACACGUAGUUGACCUGCCCUGAAGAGGAGGAUAACGUCUCGAAAGGGAUGCUAAUACUCCAUAAGCACACAGAGGUUAGAGGCUCGGUGUGAAAAGGGUUAUCGAAAGAUAACGUGCUUCAGGAGGGGACUGCGGCCCAUCAGCUAGUUGGUGAGGUAGAAGCCCACCAAGGCGAAGACGGGAAGGGGGCCUGAGAGGGUGGUCCCCCACACGGGCACUGAGAGACGGGCCCGACUCCUACGGGAGGCAGCAGUAAGGGAUAUUGCACAAUGGGUGAAAGCCUGAUGCAGCAACGCCGCGUGCACGAGGAAGGCCUUCGGGUCGUAAAGUGCUUUUCGGGGAGAAGAGGAAGGACGGUACCCCCGGAAUAAGUGUCGGCCAACUACGUGCCAGCAGCCGCGGUAAAACGUAGGACGCGAGCGUUAUCCGGAGUUACUGGGCGUAAAGGGCAGGUAGGCGGCUAGUCAAGUUGGUUGUGAAAUCUCCCGGCUAAACUGGGAGGGUGCAAUCGAAACUGAAUAGCUAGAGGACAGCAGAGGGUCGUGGAAUUCCGGGUGGAGUGGUGAAAUGCGUAGAGAUCCGGAGGAACACCAGAGGCGAAAGCGGCGACCUGGGCUGUAACUGACGCUGAACUGCGAAAGCCAGGGUAGCGAACGGAAUUAGAAACCCCGGUAGUCCUGGCCGUAAACGAUGCCAACUGGGCGUUGGUGGUGAAAGCCAUCAGGGUCGGAGCGAACGCGGUAAGUUGGCCGCCUGGGGAGUACGACCGCAAG
This 880-nucleotide ribosomal RNA is filed under the name uncultured bacterium. Its description in RNAcentral is "bacterial SSU rRNA". It matches the Rfam family "Bacterial small subunit ribosomal RNA", at positions 11 to 892 of the family's 1533-position model. The record is from RNAcentral.